AAUCAACGCUGGCGGCGUGCCUCAGACAUGCAAGUCGAACGAUUAAAGCUCUCUUCGGAGAGUGUAUAGAGUGGCGCACGGGUGAGUAACACGUAAGUAAUCUACCCUCGAGUGGGGAAUAACGUCCGGAAACGGACGCUAAUACCGCAUAAUGCAGCGGCACCGCAAGGUGACAGUUGUUAAAGAUUUAUCGCUUGAGGAGGAGCUUGCGGCAGAUUAGCUAGNGGUAAGGUAAUGGCUUACCAAGGCUACGAUCUGUAACCGGUCUAAGAGGACGGUCGGUCACACUGACACUGAAUAACGGGUCAGACUCCUACGGGAGGCAGCAGUCGGGAAUUUUGGGCAAUGGGCGAAAGCCUGACCCAGCAACGCCGCGUGAAGGAUGAAGUAUUUCGGUAUGUAAACUUCGAAAGAAUGGGAAGAAUCAAUGACGGUACCAUUUAUAAGGUCCGGCUAACUACGUGCCAGCCGCCG
RNAcentral lists this ribosomal RNA (474 nucleotides) under uncultured bacterium. RNAcentral's name for it is "bacterial SSU rRNA". It matches the Rfam family "Bacterial small subunit ribosomal RNA", at positions 32 to 517 of the family's 1533-position model. The record is from RNAcentral.